Molecule: ribosomal RNA, 1531 nt
Filed under: uncultured bacterium
Lineage: Bacteria
Description: bacterial SSU rRNA
Rfam family: Bacterial small subunit ribosomal RNA
Source: RNAcentral
UGAGUUUGAUCCUGGCUCAGUAAGUCGUAACAAGGUAGCCGUACGCUAGAGUUUGAUCCUGGCUCAGGGUGAACGCUGGCGGUAUGCCUAAGACAUGCAAGUCGCACGAUAUAGCAAUAUAUAGUGGCGGACGGGUGAGUAACACGUGGAUGACAUGCCCUGAAGUGGGGAACAACUAGGGGAAACCCUAGCUAAUUCCGCAUGUGAACGGUUCUCCUGUGAACUGUUCAAAGCCGCAAGGCGCUUUAGGAUUGGUCCGCGGUGCAUCAGCUAGUUGGUGAGGUAAAGGCUCACCAAGGCUACGACGCAUAGCUGGUCUGAGAGGACGACCAGCCACAGGGGUACUGAGACACGGACCCCACUCCUACGGGAGGCAGCAGUUAGGAAUCUUCGUCAAUGGGCGAAAGCCUGAACGAGCGAUACCGCUUGAAGGAUGAAGCCUUUCGGGGUGUAAACUUCUGAACUAGGGACGAUAAUGACGGUACCUAGGUAAUAGCACCGGCUAACUCCGUGCCAGCAGCCGCGGUAAUACGGAGGGUGCGAGCGUUACCCGGAUUUACUGGGUGUAAAGGGCGUGUAGGCGGUUUCUCAAGUCCGGUGCUAAAGACCGAAGCUCAACUUCGGGAGUGCGCUGGAUACUGUGAAGCUAGACGGUCGGAGAGGGUAGCGGAAUUCUCGGAGUAGCGGUGAAAUGCGCAGAUACCGAGAGGAACGCCAAUAGCGAAAGCAGCUACCUGGACGAUUUGUGACGCUGAGGCGCGAAAGCGUGGGGAGCAAACCGGAUUAGAUACCCGGGUAGUCCACGCCCUAAACGAUGAGUGCUGGGUGUCUGACUUUUGUUGGGUGCCGAAGCUAACGCAAUAAGCACUCCACCUGGGAAGUACGGUCGCAAGACUGAAACUCAAAGGAAUUGACGGGGGCCCGCACAAGCGGUGGAGCAUGUGGUUUAAUUCGAAGCGACGCGAAAAACCUUACCAGGUCUUGACAUGUAGGGAAGUCUGGUGAAAGCCGGAUGUGCCCGCAAGGGAGCCCUAACACAGGUGCUGCAUGGUCGUCGUCAGCUCGUGUCGUGAGAUGUUGGGUUAAGUCCCGCAACGAGCGCAACCCCUAUCCCUAGUUGCCACCGGUUCGGCCGAGCACUCUAGUGAGACUGCCUACGAAAGUAGGAGGAAGGCGGGGAUGACGUCUGAUCCGCAUGGCCCUUACGACCUGGGCCACACACGUGCUACAAUGGCUGCUACAAAGCGCUGCGACUCAGCAAUGGGAAGCCAAUCGCAUAAAAGCAGCCUCAGUUCAGAUUGGAGUCUGCAACUCGACUCCAUGAAGCUGGAAUCGCUAGUAAUCGCAGAUCAGCUACGCUGCGGUGAAUACGUUCCCGGGCCUUGUACACACCGCCCGUCAAGCCAUGGAAGUGGAUUCUGCCCAAAAUCGCCGGGAGCUUAAGGCAGGCGCUUAAGGCAGGGUUCAUGACUGGGGCUAAGUCGUAACAAGGUAGUUGUACCGGAAGGUGCGGCUGGAUCACCUCCUUUCU